CAGCGGUGAAAGUUGCAGCUUAACUGUAAAAAUGCCGUUGAAACUGUCGGGACUUGAGUGUAAAUGAGGUAGGCGGAAUGCGUGGUGUAGCGGUGAAAUGCAUAGAUAUCACGCAGAACUCCCGAUUGCGAAGGCAGCUUACUAAGCUACAACUGACACUGAAGCACGAAAGCGUGGGGAUCAAACAGGAUUAGAUACCCUGGUAGUCCACGCAGUAAACGAUGAUUACUAGCUGUUUGCGAUACACAGUAAGCGGCACAGCGAAAGCGUUAAGUAAUCCACCUGGGGAGUACGCCGGCAACGGUGAAACUCAAAGGAAUUGACGGGGGCCCGCACAAGCGGAGGAACAUGUGGUUUAAUUCGAUGAUACGCGAGGAACCUUACCCGGGUUUGAACGUAGGGAGACAGGAGUGGAAACAUUCUAUUCAGCAAUGACUGCCUACGAGGUGCUGCAUGGUUGUCGUCAGCUCGUGCCGUGAGGUGUCGGCUUAAGUGCCAUAACGAGCGCAACCCUUAUUUCCAGUUACUAACAGGUGAAGCUGAGGACUCUGGAGAGACUGCCAGCGUAAGCUGUGAGGAAGGUGGGGAUGACGUCAAAUCAGCACGGCCCUUACAUCCGGGGCGACACACGUGUUACAAUGGUAAGGACAAAGGGCAGCUACCGGGCGACCGGAUGCGAAUCUCUAAACCUUAUCUCAGUUCGGAUCGGAGUCUGCAACUCGACUCCGUGAAGCUGGAUUCGCUAGUAAUCGCGCAUCAGCCAUGGCGCGGUGAAUACGUUCCCGGGCCUUGUACACACCGCCCGUCAAGCCAUGGGAGCCGGGGGUACCUGAAGUUCGUAACCGCAAGGAUCGACCUAGGGUAAAACUGGUGACUGGGGCUAAGUCGUAACAAGGUAGCCG
Molecule: ribosomal RNA, 902 nt
Filed under: uncultured Macellibacteroides sp.
Lineage: Bacteria; Pseudomonadati; Bacteroidota; Bacteroidia; Bacteroidales; Porphyromonadaceae
Description: bacterial SSU rRNA
Rfam family: Bacterial small subunit ribosomal RNA
Source: RNAcentral